GUGCUUGUAGCUCAGUAGGAUAGAGCGACCGCCUCCUAAGCGGUAGGCCGCAGGUUCAAAUCCUGUCAGGCACA
This 74-nucleotide transfer RNA is filed under the name Clostridiales bacterium. RNAcentral's name for it is "tRNA-Arg". It matches the Rfam family "tRNA". From Rfam's summary of the family: Transfer RNA (tRNA) molecules are approximately 80 nucleotides in length. Their secondary structure includes four short double-helical elements and three loops (D, anti-codon, and T loops). Further hydrogen bonds mediate the characteristic L-shaped molecular structure. tRNAs have two regions of fundamental functional importance: the anti-codon, which is responsible for specific mRNA codon recognition, and the 3' end, to which the tRNAs corresponding amino acid is attached (by aminoacyl-tRNA synthetases). tRNAs cope with the degeneracy of the genetic code in two manners: having more than one tRNA (with a specific anti-codon) for a particular amino acid; and 'wobble' base-pairing, i.e. permitting non-standard base-pairing at the 3rd anti-codon position. The record is from RNAcentral. Lineage: Bacteria; Bacillati; Bacillota; Clostridia; Eubacteriales.